Molecule: ribosomal RNA, 454 nt
Filed under: uncultured bacterium
Lineage: Bacteria
Description: partial 16S ribosomal RNA
Rfam family: Bacterial small subunit ribosomal RNA
Source: RNAcentral
GAUGAACGCUGACAGAAUGCUUAACACAUGCAAGUCUACUUGAACUUCGGUUUGGGUGGCGGACGGGUGAGUAACGCGUAAAGAACUUGCCUCACAGUUAGGGACAACAUUUGGAAACGAAUGCUAAUACCUGAUAUUAUGAUUUUAGGGCAUCCUAAAAUUAUGAAAGCUAUAUGCGCUGUGAGAGAGCUUUGCGUCCCAUUAGCUAGUUGGAGAGGUAACGGCUCACCAAGGCGAUGAUGGGUAGCCGGCCUGAGAGGGUGAACGGCCACAAGGGGACUGAGACACGGCCCUUACUCCUACGGGCGGCAGCAGUGGGGAAUAUUGGACAAUGGACCAAAAGUCUGAUCCAGCAAUUCUGUGUGCACGAUGACGUUUUUCGGAAUGUAAAGUGCUUUCAGUUGGGAAGAAAAAAAUGACGGUACCAACAGAAGAAGUGACGGCUAAAUACGUG